Molecule: unclassified non-coding RNA, 200 nt
Filed under: Sordariomycetes sp.
Lineage: Eukaryota; Fungi; Ascomycota; Sordariomycetes
Description: partial internal transcribed spacer 2
Source: RNAcentral
UUAAGUUCAGCGGGUAUUCCUACCUGAUCCGAGGUCAAUCUUUGGUACAGAGUACGAUUUUAACGGCAGAGCACCGUCGGACGCCCUAAACGAGGUGAAUUACUACGCUUGGGGUCGCAACGAGCCCGCCACUGGCUUUUGGGGUUUGCAGGCGCAAGAACCCCAACACCGAACCCGUAGGUUCGAAGGUGGAAAUGACG